AACGAACGCUGGCGGCAUGCCUAACACAUGCAAGUCGAACGAGACCUUCGGGUCUAGUGGCGCACGGGUGCGUAACGCGUGGGAACCUGCCCUUAGGUUCGGAAUAACUCCCCGAAAGGGGUGCUAAUACCGGAUAAUGUCUUCGGACCAAAGAUUUAUCGCCUUUGGAUGGGCCCGCGUUGGAUUAGCUAGUUGGUAGGGUAAAAGCCUACCAAGGCGACGAUCCAUAGCUGGUCUGAGAGGAUGAUCAGCCACACUGGGACUGAGACACGGCCCAGACUCCUACGGGAGGCAGCAGUGGGGAAUAUUGGACAAUGGGCGAAAGCCUGAUCCAGCAAUGCCGCGUGAGUGAUGAAGGCCUUAGGGUUGUAAAGCUCUUUUACACGGGAUGAUAAUGACAGUACCGGGAGAAUAAGCUCCGGCUAACUCCGUG
Molecule: ribosomal RNA, 433 nt
Filed under: uncultured bacterium
Lineage: Bacteria
Description: partial 16S ribosomal RNA
Rfam family: Bacterial small subunit ribosomal RNA
Source: RNAcentral